UGAUGACCAUAGCGAGUCGGUCCCACCCCUUCCCAUCCCGAACAGGACCGUGAAACGACUCCACGCCGAUGAUAGUGCGGAUUGCCCGUG
This 90-nucleotide ribosomal RNA is filed under the name Burkholderia sp. MR1. The record is from RNAcentral. Lineage: Bacteria; Pseudomonadati; Pseudomonadota; Betaproteobacteria; Burkholderiales; Burkholderiaceae.